CAGUAGCCGCGGGAAUACGUAGGUCCCGAGCGUUGUCCGGAUUUAUUGGGCGUAAAGCGAGCGCAGGCGGUUAGAUAAGUCUGAAGUUAAAGGCUGUGGCUUAACCAUAGUAUGCUUUGGAAACUGUUUAACUUGAGUGCAGAAGGGGAGAGUGGAACUCCAUGUGUAGCGGUGAAAUGCGUAGAUAUAUGGAGGAACACCGGUGGCGAAAGCGGCUCUCUGGUCUGUAACUGACGCUGAGGCUCGAAAGCGUGGGGAGCAAACAGGAUUAGAUACCCGCGUAGUCCCUGUCUCUUAUACC
Molecule: ribosomal RNA, 301 nt
Filed under: uncultured bacterium
Lineage: Bacteria
Description: partial 16S ribosomal RNA
Rfam family: Bacterial small subunit ribosomal RNA
Source: RNAcentral